AUUGAACGCUGGCGGCAUGCCUAACACAUGCAAGUCGAACGGCAGCACGGGAGCUUGCUCCUGGUGGCGAGUGGCGGACGGGUGAGUAAUGCAUAGGAAUCCUGCCCAGUAGCGGGGGACAACUUGGGGAAACUCAAGCUAAUACCGCAUGCGCCCUACGGGGGAAANCGGGGGGACCUUCGGGCCUCGCACUAUUGGAUGAGCCUAUGUCAGAUUAGCUUGUUGGUGGGGUAACGGCCUACCAAGGCGACGAUCUGUAGCUGGUCUGAGAGGACGAUCAGCCACACUGGGACUGAGACACGGCCCAGACUCCUACGGGAGGCAGCAGUGGGGAAUACUUGCACAAUGGGCGAAAGCCUGAUGCAGCAAUGCCGCGUGUGUGAGAAGGCCUGC
RNAcentral lists this ribosomal RNA (393 nucleotides) under uncultured bacterium. Its description in RNAcentral is "bacterial SSU rRNA". It matches the Rfam family "Bacterial small subunit ribosomal RNA", at positions 30 to 419 of the family's 1533-position model. The record is from RNAcentral.